This 223-nucleotide small nucleolar RNA is filed under the name Trifolium pratense (red clover). RNAcentral's name for it is "snoRNA Plant_U3". It matches the Rfam family "Plant small nucleolar RNA U3". From Rfam's summary of the family: Small nucleolar RNAs (snoRNAs) are involved in the processing and modification of rRNA in the nucleolus. Lineage: Eukaryota; Viridiplantae; Streptophyta; Magnoliopsida; Fabales; Fabaceae. The record is from RNAcentral.
ACGAUCUUACUUAAUCAGGAUCUGUUCUAUAGGAUUGUAAUAUUGUGUCCUUGAUUUCUAAGGAGACAGAAAUAUACGUCUAGUGGAUGAACUAAGACCAUAUGAUUAGAGCGUGAUUAACGGCUAGGAUGCUCUCGUGAGCGAGAUCUCAUCCUCUGUGGUAGAAGAUCGUUCUCAGGCAGUAAUACCUGACUGGGGUGGUCGCACGGUGUUCUGACAGAAU